RNAcentral lists this ribosomal RNA (493 nucleotides) under uncultured bacterium. RNAcentral's name for it is "partial 16S ribosomal RNA". It matches the Rfam family "Bacterial small subunit ribosomal RNA", at positions 28 to 506 of the family's 1533-position model. The record is from RNAcentral.
GACGAACGCUGGCGGCGUGCUUAACACAUGCAAGUCGAACGGUGAAGCGCCUUCCUUUUUGGUGGGUGUGGAUGAGUGGCGAACGGGUGAGUAACACGUGAGUAACCUGCCCCCUUCUUCUGGAUAACCGCAUGAAAGUGUGGCUAAUGCGGGAUAUUCUGGGUCUGUCGCAUGAUGGGUCUGGGAAAGAUAUUGUUUCGGUGGGGGAUGGGCUCGCGGCCUAUCAGCUUGUUGGUGGGGUGAUGGCCUACCAAGGCGGUGACGGGUAGCCGGCCUGAGAGGGUGGACGGUCACACUGGGACUGAGACACGGCCCAGACUCCUACGGGAGGCAGCAGUGGGGAAUAUUGCACAAUGGGCGCAAGCCUGAUGCAGCGACGCCGCGUGAGGGAUGGAGGCCUUCGGGUUGUGAACCUCUUUCGCCAGUGAAGCAGGCCUGCCUCGUUUGUGGGUGGGUUGACGGUAGCUGGAUAAGAAGCGCCGGCUAACUACGU